CAAUAGCGUAUAUUAAAGUUGUUGCAGUUAAAAAGCUCGUAGUUGGAUUUCGGGACGGGCCAGUUGGUCCGCCGCAAGGUGUGUUACUGACUGGUCUGUUCUUCUUCGCAAAGACUGCGUGUGCUCUUCGUUGAGUGUGCGUAGGAUUUACGACGUUUACUUUGAAAAAAUUAGAGUGUUCAAAGCAGGCUAUCGCUUGAAUACAUGAGGAUGGAAUAAUGGAAUAGGACUUUGGUCCUAUUUUGUUGGUUUCUAGGACCGAAGUAAUGAUUAAGAGGGACAAUUGGGGGCAUCCGUAUUUCGUUGUCAGAGGUGAAAUUCUUGGAUUUACGAAAGACGAACAACUGCGAAAGCACUUGCCAAGAGUGUUUUCAUUAA
This 378-nucleotide ribosomal RNA is filed under the name uncultured eukaryote. RNAcentral describes it as "partial 18S ribosomal RNA". It matches the Rfam family "Eukaryotic small subunit ribosomal RNA", at positions 592 to 976 of the family's 1831-position model. The record is from RNAcentral.